Molecule: long non-coding RNA, 311 nt
Organism: Engraulis encrasicolus (European anchovy)
Lineage: Eukaryota; Metazoa; Chordata; Actinopteri; Clupeiformes; Engraulidae
Exons: 3
Source: RefSeq, a predicted model, not a curated record
AGCAAGUGGCAUCUAGGUCAAUUUUUAUAAAAAGAGCCGAAAGCGGUAGGGCCGCUGGAGCUCUCCCGGUGUUGGUUUUGGUGUUGCUGUAGGCCUAUGCAGUGCUCAGAUCCGGUGAUGCCCAGCUUACCGUAUCCAUGUCAGUGUGGAGGUGAGCCAGGGAUCCUCCCCAGGUGCUCGGGUUGUCGCUACCCCAACUUGUAGCAUUCUGUCCACCUGUUUGAGAUGUGCUAUCGAGGGUCGGUGGUAACUGUUCACUGCUGUUUUGCCCUUAGAUUUUAAGUGUUACCUCUGUUAUUUGUUUUGUUUGA